RNAcentral lists this transfer RNA (68 nucleotides) under human oral metagenome. It matches the Rfam family "tRNA". Rfam says of the family: Transfer RNA (tRNA) molecules are approximately 80 nucleotides in length. Their secondary structure includes four short double-helical elements and three loops (D, anti-codon, and T loops). The record is from RNAcentral.
GGGAGUAGCUCAGUUGGUAGAGCACCGGUCUCCAAAACCGGGUGUCGCAGGUUCAAGUCCUGUCUCCC